UAGUUGCCAUCAUUUGGUUGGGCACUCUAGUGAGACUGCCGGUGACAAACCGGAGGAAGGUGGGGAUGACGUCAAGUCCUCAUGGCCCUUAUGGGUAGGGCUUCACACGUCAUACAAUGGUCGGUACAGAGGGUUGCCAAGCCGCGAGGUGGAGCCAAUCCCUUAAAGCCGAUCGUAGUCCGGAUCGUAGUCUGCAACUCGACUACGUGAAGUCGGAAUCGCUAGUAAUCGCAGAUCAGCAUGCUGCGGUGAAUACGUUCCCGGGUCUU
Molecule: ribosomal RNA, 269 nt
Filed under: uncultured Thauera sp.
Lineage: Bacteria; Pseudomonadati; Pseudomonadota; Betaproteobacteria; Rhodocyclales; Zoogloeaceae
Description: partial 16S ribosomal RNA
Rfam family: Bacterial small subunit ribosomal RNA
Source: RNAcentral